AUCGAGCUAAAUUAUACAAAAGCCCACAAUGAGCCCUUCAUAUUGUAAGGCAUAUUCAAAGUCUAGAUCCUUACCGAGCAUCAUGGCAGAAGUAAACGAUAGCAUAAUACAAUUCAGUUUCUUACUUAAAACUUUCUAGAUGCCAACAAGGCCAGAAUCUUACACUAGAGCAAGAUUAGCUUUUAUUUGACUUUACAAAGUUGAAUGGCGAAAUAGCUGAAUAUAGUAGAGCUAACUUCUACGGCACCCGAGGGUGUGGCCCAGUGGUCAAUGAAGUGGGUUGACACCUAUGAGGUCUCAAGAUCAAAUCUCAACCAAGGCAAAAAAACACUAGGUGAGUUCUUUCUAUCUAAUCAUGUCUUGAUGGGUAGAGUUACCUGAUACCUAUACUGGUGGGAGGUAGUAGAUACCUGUAGAGUUAGUCGAGGUGUGCGCAAGCUAGCUCGAAUACCAUGAUUAUCCAAGAAAUAAAAAAUAGAGCUAACUUUUACGUGGCUAUCCUAGAAAUGUGCAGGCAUCAAAAGCCUCAAAAUCACAUUUUGAUAAUAAUACACAUUAAUUAGCUUGCCAUUGGAUCCUUUUGUUUUUAGGCAUAAAAUGUCUCAAACCAAAUAUUGUAAAAGUUAAACCUAGAAGCCUCUGACCCAUUUAGGUGAAAGACAAAUUAGAAACUUGUCCAACAAUCUUUAUUUUCUUACUUUGAAUGGCUAAAUCUGAAAGUCAUCCUGUGUAACUUAGGGCAAGUUGUUUGUUUUUCUCACCUCUUUUUCGAACUAUAUAUCAAAUAUGAACACCUUAUCCACCUCAGAAUUCAGAUAACACAGAUACUAUUAGCACGUGCAACAAAAGGACCAGAAGAAUAGACCUUAUCUGUACGGUAUACUAGAUGCAUCAGGAUAUGAUGGAGCUUCAUAGAACCAGCAAACAAUGUAAAACUCGAGGCACAUAUCUGGAAGAAAGCUACAGAUAAUAUUUUGAGUGAAAUUGCAAUAAGAAUGUCUAACAUGGAUUCCUCAAGUAGGUGAAAAUCUUAGAUAUCAGGGUUCAAAAUACGCUAGGUGUCCAUCUGCCUAAGCUUGGUGGGCAGAACUAUUAGGUACCUAUGCUGGAGGGAAGGUGUAGGUAUCUGGCGGAACAAUUGAGAGCGAGCAAGCUGAACCCAACGCACUGUUACUAAAUAAAGCCUAAUACAGAUCUAAGAAGCCAAGGCAAAAGAAAUGUUGUAAACUAAGCUUGCAAAAAGGGUUAUGAAAAACUAAGCUUGCAAAAAGACAUAUGCACCAACACAAGAGCAAACAGCCUUCUAAACAUGCUCAUAAACUUACGAAUUAAAAAGAGAGAAACUUGCAGGUUUUGUUCUCAGAGCAAGUGAAGAUGAAGGCUGCAAUACAAGGGAAAGAUCAUAUAACAAGUGAUGACGAGUCAGACAAGGAAAGUAGUCAGUCACCUUCCAAGAAGGAGGUCAAGUCCCUUAAGGAAGAACUUGAAAGAAUAAAGAUACAAAUGGAAGAGCUUCAGAGGGACUACUCGGAACUGCAACACGAUUAUGAAAAAGUAAACAACGAAAACAUCAGUCACCUUCGAAGAAGGAGGUCAAGUCCCUUAGAGAAGAACUUGAAAAAAUAAAGACGCAAAUGGAAGAGCUUCAGAGGGACUACUCGGAGCUGCAACACGAUUAUGACAAAGU
This 1687-nucleotide long non-coding RNA is filed under the name Nicotiana benthamiana. Its description in RNAcentral is "long non-coding RNA (NBEN_LNC038215)". Lineage: Eukaryota; Viridiplantae; Streptophyta; Magnoliopsida; Solanales; Solanaceae. The record is from RNAcentral.